GAUGAACGCUGGCGGCGUGCUUAACACAUGCAAGUCGAACGAAGCACUUUAUUCGAUUUUCUUCGGAGAUGAAGAUUUAGUGUCUGAGUGGCGGACGGGUGAGUAACGCGUGGAUAACCUGCCUCACACUGGGGGAUAACAGUCAGAAAUGACUGCUAAUACCGCAUAAGCGCACAGUACCGCAUGGUAUGGUGUGAAAAACUCCGGUGGUGUGAGAUGGAUCCGCGUUUGAUUAGCCAGUUGGCGGGGUAACGGCCCACCAAAGCGACGAUCAAUAGCCGACCUGAGAGGGUGACCGGCCACAUUGGGACUGAGACACGGCCCAAACUCCUACGGGAGGCAGCAGUGGGGAAUAUUGCGCAAUGGGGGAAACCCUGACGCAGCGACGCCGCGUGAGCGAUGAAGUAUUUCGGUAUGUAAAGCUCUAUCAGCAGGGAAGAAUAAAUGACGGUACCUGACUAAGAAGCCCCGGCUAACUACGUGCCAGCAGCCGCAGUAA
RNAcentral lists this ribosomal RNA (499 nucleotides) under uncultured bacterium. Its description in RNAcentral is "partial 16S ribosomal RNA". It matches the Rfam family "Bacterial small subunit ribosomal RNA", at positions 28 to 523 of the family's 1533-position model. The record is from RNAcentral.